Molecule: ribosomal RNA, 496 nt
Filed under: uncultured bacterium
Lineage: Bacteria
Description: partial 16S ribosomal RNA
Rfam family: Bacterial small subunit ribosomal RNA
Source: RNAcentral
AUGCACGCUGGCGGCGUGCCUAAUCCCUGCCAGUCGAGCGAACAGACGAGGAGCUUGCUCCUCUGACGUUAGCGGCGGACGGGUGAGUAACACGUGGAUAACCUACCUAUAAGACUGGGAUAACUUCGGGAAACCGGAGCUAAUACCGGAUAAUAUAUUGAACCGCAUGGUUCAAUAGUGAAAGACGGUUUUGCUGUCACUUAUAGAUGGAUCCGCGCCGCAUUAGCUAGUUGGUAAGGUAACGGCUUACCAAGGCGACGAUGCGUAGCCGACCUGAGAGGGUGAUCGGCCACACUGGAACUGAGACACGGUCCAGACUCCUACGGGAGGCAGCAGUAGGGAAUCUUCCGCAAUGGGCGAAAGCCUGACGGAGCAACGCCGCGUGAGUGAUGAAGGUCUUCGGAUCGUAAAACUCUGUUAUUAGGGAAGAACAAAUGUGUAGGUAACUAUGCACGUCUUGACGGUACCUAAUCAGAAAGCCACGGCUAACUACGUG